GCCGGAGUGGCGAAAUUGGCAGACGCAGGGGACUUAAAAUCCCUCGGGCCCUAAACCCGUGCGGGUUCGACUCCCGCCUCCGGCACCA
This 88-nucleotide transfer RNA is filed under the name Bacillota bacterium. RNAcentral's name for it is "tRNA-Leu". It matches the Rfam family "tRNA". From Rfam's summary of the family: Transfer RNA (tRNA) molecules are approximately 80 nucleotides in length. Their secondary structure includes four short double-helical elements and three loops (D, anti-codon, and T loops). The record is from RNAcentral. Lineage: Bacteria; Bacillati; Bacillota.